This 593-nucleotide ribosomal RNA is filed under the name uncultured bacterium. RNAcentral's name for it is "bacterial SSU rRNA". It matches the Rfam family "Bacterial small subunit ribosomal RNA", at positions 788 to 1381 of the family's 1533-position model. The record is from RNAcentral.
UGGUAGUNCACGCCGUAAACGAUGAGUGCUAGGUGUUAGGCCCUUUCCGGGGCUUAGUGCCGCAGCCAACGCAUUAAGCACUCCGCCUGGGGAGUACGACCGCAAGGUUGAAACUCAAAGGAAUUGACGGGGGCCCGCACAAGCGGUGGAGCAUGUGGUUUAAUUCGAAGCAACGCGAAGAACCUUACCAGGUCUUGACAUCCCUCUGAUCGCUCUAGAGAUAGAGUUUUCCUUCGGGACAGAGGUGACAGGUGGUGCAUGGUUGUCGUCAGCUCGUGUCGUGAGAUGUUGGGUUAANNNNNNCAACGAGCGCAACCCCUAUUGUUAGUUGCCAUCAUUCAGUUGGGCACUCUAGCGAGACUGCCGGUAAUAAACCGGAGGAAGGUGGGGAUGACGUCAAAUCAUCAUGCCCCUUAUGACCUGGGCUACACACGUGCUACAAUGGCUGGUACAACGAGUCGCAAGCCGGUGACGGCAAGCUAAUCUCUGGAAGCCAGUCUCAGUUCGGAUUGUAGGCUGCAACUCGCCUACAUGAAGUCGGAAUCGCUAGUAAUCGCGGAUCAGCACGCCGCGGUGAAUACGUUCCCGGGCCU